Molecule: ribosomal RNA, 269 nt
Filed under: uncultured prokaryote
Description: partial 16S ribosomal RNA
Rfam family: Bacterial small subunit ribosomal RNA
Source: RNAcentral
UACGGAGGGUGCAAGCGUUAUCCGGAUUUAUUGGGUUUAAAGGGUGCGUAGGCGGAAUAAUAAGUCAGUGGUGAAAUCCUGCGGCUCAACCGUAGAACUGCCAUUGAUACUGUUAUUCUUGAAUUUAGUUGAGGUAGGCGGAAUGUGUAAUGUAGCGGUGAAAUGCUUAGAUAUUACACAGAACACCGAUUGCGAAGGCAGCUUGCUAAACUAUUAUUGACGCUGAGGCACGAAAGCGUGGGGAGCGAACAGGAUUAGAUACCCGCGUA